RNAcentral lists this ribosomal RNA (253 nucleotides) under uncultured bacterium. RNAcentral's name for it is "partial 16S ribosomal RNA". It matches the Rfam family "Bacterial small subunit ribosomal RNA", at positions 524 to 776 of the family's 1533-position model. The record is from RNAcentral.
UACGUAGAGAGCAAGCGUUGUCCGGAUUUACUGGGUGUAAAGGGUGCGUAGGCGGCUUUGCAAGUCAGAAGUGAAAUCUAUGGGCUUAACCCAUAAACUGCUUUUGAAACUGCAGGGCUUGAGUGAAGUAGAGGUAGGCGGAAUUCCCGGUGUAGCGGUGAAAUGCGUAGAGAUCGGGAGGAACACCAGUGGCGAAGGCGGCCUACUGGGCUUUAACUGACGCUGAGGCACGAAAGCGUGGGUAGCAAACAGG